GAGUAACACGUAAGCGACCUGCCCUUGAGUGGGGGAUAACCCCGAGAAAUUGGGGCUAAUACCGCAUAAAGUGUUUGGGGUAAGGCCCGGACACCAAAGCCUUCGGGUGCUUGAGGAGGGGCUUGCGGCCUAUCAGGUAGUUGGUGAGGGUAACGGCCCACCAAGCCGAUGACGGGUAGCUGGUUUGAGAGGAUGAUCAGCCACAUUGGGACUGAGACACGGCCCAGACUCCUACGGGAGGCAGCAGCAGGGAAUAUUGCGCAAUGGGCGAAAGCCUGACGCAGCAACGCCGCGUGGGUGAAGAAGGCCUUCGGGUCGUAAAGCCCUUUUCUUGGGGAAGAAGCACUGACGGUACCCAGGGAAUAAGCCUCGGCUAAUCACGUGCCAGCAGCCGCGGUGAUACGUGAGAGGCGAGCGUUAUCCGGAUUUACUGGGCGUAAAGGGCGUGUAGGCGGUUGGGCAAGUCCUUUGUGAAAUCUCCUGGCUUAACCGGGAGGGGUCAAAGGAAACUACCUGACUUGAGGGUAGCAGGGGGAGAUGGAAUUCUCGGUGGAGCGGUGAAAUGCGUAGAUAUCGAGAGGAACACCAGUGGCGAAGGCGAUCUCCUGGGCUAUACCUGACGCUGAGGCGCGAAAGCGUGGGGAGCAAACAGGAUUAGAUACCCU
RNAcentral lists this ribosomal RNA (665 nucleotides) under uncultured bacterium. RNAcentral describes it as "bacterial SSU rRNA". It matches the Rfam family "Bacterial small subunit ribosomal RNA", at positions 108 to 788 of the family's 1533-position model. The record is from RNAcentral.